CGAUGAUGACGACGACGAUGAUGAUGAUAAGGAUGAUGAUGAGAUUAUGUUGUGAUAAUUAUUGUUAUCAUUAUCAUCAACAAAACCA
Molecule: microRNA precursor, 88 nt
Filed under: Bigelowiella natans CCMP2755
Lineage: Eukaryota; Cercozoa; Chlorarachniophyceae
Description: miRNA EPrBNAG00000013426
Source: RNAcentral